UACGUAGGUGGCAAGCGUUGUCCGGAAUCAUUGGGCGUAAAGCGCGCGUAGGUGGCCCUGUAAGUCCGUUGUGAAAGUCAAAGGCUCAACCUUUGAAAGCCGAUGGAUACUGCAGGGCUAGAGUACGGAAGAGGCGAGUGGAAUUCCUGGUGUAGCGGUGGAAUGCGCAGAUAUCAGGAGGAACACCAAUAGCGAAGGCAGCUCGCUGGGACGUUACUGACACUGAGGCGCGAAAGCGUGGGGAGCGAACAGG
This 253-nucleotide ribosomal RNA is filed under the name uncultured bacterium. RNAcentral's name for it is "partial 16S ribosomal RNA". It matches the Rfam family "Bacterial small subunit ribosomal RNA", at positions 524 to 776 of the family's 1533-position model. The record is from RNAcentral.